Molecule: long non-coding RNA, 1639 nt
Organism: Manacus vitellinus (golden-collared manakin)
Lineage: Eukaryota; Metazoa; Chordata; Aves; Passeriformes; Pipridae
Source: Ensembl
GUCCACACACCAUGUCUGAGCACCACGUCCACACCCCCUGGCUGAGCACCAUGACCGAGCACCGUGGCCGAGCACCGUGUUCACACAUCGUGGCUGAGCACUGAGUCAACGCACCAAGUCCAAGCACCGUGGUCAAGCACCAUGUCCACACACCACAUCUGAGCACCGUGUCCAUCCACCAUGUCCAUGACGUGGUCAAGCACCAAGUCCAAGUAUCAAGCAGAGCACCAUGUCCACGCACUGUCCCCGAGCACCACGUCCAUGGUGCAUGGCUGAGCACCGUGCCCGAGCACCACAUCCAUGCACCAUGUCCAUGACGUGGUCCAGCACCGUGCCCAAGCACCAUGUCCAUGCACCAAGUCCAUGACGUGGUCCAGCACCGUACCCAAGCACCAUGUCCAUGCACCAAGUCCAAGCACCACAGCAGAGCACCGUGUCCGUGCGCUGUGUCUGAACACCGUGGUCGAGCACCAUGUCCACACACCACGUUCGUGCACCGUGUCCACACAGCAUGUCCGAGCGUGGUGCCUGCACACCAUGUCCAUGGGAUGUGGACGAGCACCGUGCCCCGAGCACCGUGUCCACACACCACGUCCAAGCACCACAGCAGAGCACCACGCCCGAGCACCACGUCCACGAUGUGUGGCUGAGCACUGUGUCCGAGCACCGUGUCCGAGCACCAUGUCCACACACCCUGUUCGAGCACCACACUCGAGCACCACGUCCACGAUGUGUGACCGUGUCCACGCACCAUGUCUGAACACCGUGUCUGAGCACCACGUUCACGUGCCGUGUCCGUGAUGCCUGGCUGAGCACCGUGCCCAAGCACCAUGUCCAAGCAUCACACCCGAGCACCACAUCCACGAUGUGUGACUGUGCUUGAGCACCGUGUCCACGUGCCAUGUCCGAGCACCGUGGCCAAGCACCACAUCCAAGCACUGUGUCCACGCACCACGUCUGAGCACCACAUCCCCGAUGUGUGACUGAUCACCAUGUCCAAGAACCGUGUCCACAUGCCACGCCCCCGAUGCGUGACUGACCACUGUGCCCGAGCACCACGUCCACAGUGUGUGGCCAAACACCACGUCUGAGCACCAUGUCCGCACACCACGCCCGAGCAUCACAUCCACGGUGUGUGACCAAACACUGUGUCCCAGCACCACGUCCCCAGUGUGUGACUGACCACCACGCCCGAGCACUACACCCACGGUGCGUGGCCAAACACCGCGUCUCAGCACCAUGUCCACACACCACGACCAAGCACCGCUGAGCACCGAGAUCACACCUCUGACCAAACCCUACACCCACAUACAUCUGAGCACCUCAUCCCACCACCACACCGGCUCCGCAGGGAACGGCUCCACCACGACCCCGGGACACCUUGGACAUGGCAAAACUCCGGUUUGCAUCAACCCAACCGGCUCCCGGCACACCUUGAGCUGUCGCUCCGGAAAGGUAAACUUCCUUCUCAACGACAUUGCUUUAUUUUUUAAUAUCUUGGUUCCUUAGUUUCAUAUAUACAUUAGUAGCACCUCAGCGAGAUGGAAUCAGGCAGAAGCGUGAUACAGUUUGUUAAAACACCAUAGCACCGUUUGUAUUACAAGAUUUCAUUUAAUAAAAAUAUGCCUUAUAGAGCCCA